GGGGGCGAAACGGUUUCGACGGGGAUAUUUGAACUUAAGGUUGCAUGCCGAGGUUCUCGCCGGCUCGUUAAACAGGCGGGGAUAAACACAAAAGCAGACUCUUACGAGUACGCUCUGGCCGCGUAGGCCAGCGUCCACAAGCUCCUCUCCCGCGGGGGUUUGCUGGGCGACGAUCAGUGGGAUAGCCUAAAGGGGGCGCGGAAAGCCCCGGCAGGCGAAACAACACUUUCCGCUGGCCUGUUCGGCGCCCUUUCCGUGGGGGGCCGACGGGCGAGACAAUAAUCACGGAAUAAGCAUGUAGAUGUCUUAGGGGAAGAUCUUCGGACGCGGGUUCAACUCCCGCCGCCUCCACCA
This 354-nucleotide transfer-messenger RNA is filed under the name Pseudomonadota bacterium. Its description in RNAcentral is "Proteobacteria bacterium (groundwater metagenome) transfer-messenger RNA". It matches the Rfam family "transfer-messenger RNA". Rfam says of the family: Bacterial tmRNA, also known as 10Sa RNA or SsrA, is named for its dual tRNA and mRNA-like properties. The record is from RNAcentral. RNAcentral also lists the same sequence under 1 other name. Lineage: Bacteria; Pseudomonadati; Pseudomonadota.